GUAGUUGACUCCUGGCUCGAGGACGAACGCUGGCGGCGCGCUUAACACAUGCAAGUCGAACGGGGUACCCGCGAAGGAGACUUCGGUCAAAUUUGCGGACUACCUAGUGGCGGACGGGUGCGUAACACGUCGAGUAACCUGCCUUGGGGUGGGGGAUAACAUACCGAAAGGCAUGCUAAUACCGCAUAACAUACAUUUCCCGCAUGAGAGAUGUAUCAAAGAUUUAUUGCCCCAAGAUGGACUCGCGGCCGAUUAGCUGGUUGGUGAGGUAACGGCCCACCAAGGCGACGAUCGGUAGCCGGACUGAGAGGUUGACCGGCCACAUUGGGACUGAGACACGGCCCAGACUCCUACGGGAGGCAGCAGUGGGGAAUAUUGCGCAAUGGGGGAAACCCUGACGCAGCGACGCCGCGUGAAGGAAGAAGGUUUUCGGAUCGUAAACUUUUGUCUUUGGGGACGAGAACGGACGGUACCCAAGGAGGAAGCCACGGCUAACUACGUGCC
This 504-nucleotide ribosomal RNA is filed under the name uncultured organism. RNAcentral describes it as "SSU rRNA". It matches the Rfam family "Bacterial small subunit ribosomal RNA", at positions 1 to 509 of the family's 1533-position model. The record is from RNAcentral.